UUAAAAAGCUCGUAGUUGGAUUUCUGGCAGAGUGUCCUCCGGCCAGCGGUUCGUUUGGUGCGGAGCGCUCUACCGUCCUUCUGUUAACCUUUACGGAAUUGACUUUCUGCAUCGGGGCUCAGAUAUUUUACCUUGAGAAAAUUAGAGUGUUUCAGGCAGGCUAGCGCCGGAAUACAUUAGCAUGGAAUAAUGGAAAAGGACUUCAACCUCUUCUAUUGGUCUGGGAGGCUGUAGUAAUGAUUAAUAGGGAUAGUUGGGGGCAUUAGUACUUAACUGUCAGAGGUGAAAUUCUCCGAUUUGUUAAAGACUAACUUAUGCGAAAGCAUUUGCCAAGGAUGUUUUCAUUAAUCAAG
This 353-nucleotide ribosomal RNA is filed under the name uncultured marine eukaryote. RNAcentral's name for it is "bacterial SSU rRNA". It matches the Rfam family "Eukaryotic small subunit ribosomal RNA", at positions 619 to 981 of the family's 1831-position model. The record is from RNAcentral.